This is a long non-coding RNA of Ornithodoros turicata, 629 nucleotides long. RefSeq lists it as uncharacterized. The transcript is spliced from 3 exons. NCBI's taxonomy places the organism in Eukaryota, Metazoa, Arthropoda, Arachnida, Ixodida, Argasidae. The record is from RefSeq and is a predicted model, not a curated record.
UUCUACGUACCGCUAUAUGAUAAGACUAGUGGGUAUUAUAUGCUGCUGCUCUUCAACGGUCUAGCCCUUUCAGAAUAAACUGCACGCUGACGCGCACGGGAACAGAGAUGACUGAUUCCUACUUGUUCGCAGCAAUAACUGCGUUGCUGGUGUUCACAGUAGGAGCUGACGACUAUUUGAAUGCAGAUGAUGCACUUGAAGCAGCAGAUAACGCUAUACGAGAUCUUCGGUACAUACACUCUGAAGUCGUUUCUUCGAACGUUUCUCAAGAUGACGGAUCGUUAAUCUGGGUCCCAAUUGUGGCAGCAGUAGGUGGCCUGAUCGUCCUCAUCUUAUUGUGUUUCUGCAUCUGUCACUUCUGCUGCGGCUGCUGUAGGAAGGACACCCACAUCUCCAAUACCACUGUCGUGCAACAGUCGGCAAUGGCGUCCAGUGCUGCACCCACUGUCGUGAUGGUUCCUGGAUUCCAACCUACAAUGGGACAACAGCAACCUGAUCCAGGAUUCACGAAUUACACGUACAAUCCAAAUCAAGAGUGGUCACGUCGGGCCCAUCUAGCGACACAAGAAAUGACGCCACCACCAUAUGCGAAAUAAACGGUCACGGUUUUGGACCAUUUGAAGCAAAAA